Molecule: ribosomal RNA, 425 nt
Filed under: uncultured rumen bacterium
Lineage: Bacteria
Description: bacterial SSU rRNA
Rfam family: Bacterial small subunit ribosomal RNA
Source: RNAcentral
GUGAGGAAUAUUGGUCAAUGGACGGAAGUCUGAACCAGCCAAGUAGCGUGCAGGAUGACUGCCCUAUGGGUUGUAAACUGCUUUUAUACGGGGAUAAAGUCAGGGUCGUGACCCUGUUUGCAGGUACCGUAUGAAUAAGGACCGGCUAAUUCCGUGCCAGCAGCCGCGGUAAUACGGAAGGUCCAGGCGUUAUCCGGAUUUAUUGGGUUUAAAGGGAGCGUAGGCCGGAGAUUAAGUGUGUUGUGAAAUGUAGAUGCUCAACAUCUGCACUGCAGCGCAUACUGGUUUCCUUGAGUACACACAACGUUGGCGGAAUUCGUCGUGUAGCGGUGAAAUGCUUAGAUAUGACGAAGAACUCCGAUUGCGAAGGCAGCUGACGGGAGUGCAACUGACGCUGAAGCUCGAAAGUGCGGGUAUCGAACAGG